AUGGAGGUCAACGGUCGUCACAAGCCUACAAGAGAGUAUAUCGACAGAGGGUGCAAUGGUGUAAAAUCGCCCAAUAAUUUCGGCGAAGUUGAUCCCUGGACCGCGUGGGCGUACAGACCACGGACCAUCUCGUUGUUACUCAUGGGAACCUGCUUUUUAAUUUGGGCAAGUGGUGCUCUUAAUCCAGAAGGAAGCUUCUCUGCUGACCGUGUCUCAUCUGUAAAAAGGGGUGUCUUUGCGAUGAUUGCUGUUUUCUUGGCUUAUUCUUUUCUUCAGGCACCUUCAACUGUGCUCAUCAGACCACAUCCUGCAAUUUGGCGGCUGGUCCAUGGGAUGGCAGUUGUUUACCUUGUGGCCCUCACAUUUUUGCUUUUCCAGACUCGUGAUGAUGCUAGGCAGUUCAUGAAGUACCUUCACCCUGACCUUGGUGUUGAAUUACCUGAAAGAUCCUAUGGAACCGACUGCCGUAUAUAUGUACCUGAUCAUCCGAAAAGCAGGUUUAACAAUGUUUAUGACAUCCUUUUUGACGAGUUUGUUAUUGCCCAUAUCCUUGGAUGGUGGGGAAAGGCUAUAAUGAUACGAAACCAACCACUUCUAUGGGUGUUAUCAAUUGGCUUUGAGUUAAUGGAGCUAACUUUUCGACAUAUGUUGCCAAAUUUUAACGAAUGCUGGUGGGAUAGCAUUGUUCUAGACAUAUUGAUCUGCAAUUGGUUUGGUAUCUGGGCUGGUAUGAAGACUGUGAGAUAUUUUGAUGGGAGGACAUAUGAAUGGGUUGGCUUGAGUCGCCAGCCCAAUAUUAUGAGUAAGGUGAAAAGGACACUAGGUCAGUUCACACCAGCACAGUGGGACAAGGAUGAGUGGUACCCUCUGCUCGGCCCUUGGAGAUUCAUCCAAGUGCUAAGCCUGUGCGUAAUUUUCAUGACCAUCGAACUUAACACAUUCUUUCUUAAGUUCUGCCUCUGGAUUCCUCCCCGGAAUCCCUUGAUUGUCUACCGACUGGUCCUUUGGUGGUUGAUUGCGAUACCAACCAUCCGCGAAUACAACACCUAUUUGCAGGACAGGAACUCUGUGAAGAAGGUGGGGUCUUUCUGUUGGCUUUCGCUGGCUAUAUGCAUCAUAGAGCUUCUGAUCUGCAUCAAGUUUGGCCAUGGUCUCUUCCCGAAGUCGAUGCCGUCGUGGCUGAUCAUAUUCUGGACGACGGUGGCCACGCUUCUCACGAUGUUCCUUUUUGUGUGGACAUGGAAAAUUUACCGAACAAUGAUUAGAAAAAGGUUGUGA
RNAcentral lists this ribosomal RNA (1278 nucleotides) under Triticum aestivum (bread wheat). Its description in RNAcentral is "partial small subunit ribosomal RNA". Lineage: Eukaryota; Viridiplantae; Streptophyta; Magnoliopsida; Poales; Poaceae. The record is from RNAcentral.